Molecule: long non-coding RNA, 2364 nt
Organism: Sphaerodactylus townsendi
Lineage: Eukaryota; Metazoa; Chordata; Lepidosauria; Squamata; Sphaerodactylidae
Exons: 5
Source: RefSeq, a predicted model, not a curated record
CUGAGGCAGUCGGACGCAGAGGGGUUAGCCAGGAGAGAUUCCCAAGCAGGUCCCGAUCCUAGCCUACUCACUUGCACUCAGUUGGGCUUGCAGUAUGUGCCUUUUAAAACUGGAGACAGCGACAGGAGACAAAUGGAUGCAAUUGCUAUGAGAAAGCCAUCUGAUCAUUCAAAAAUGUUGUGUAAUCAUCUAAAUGGAAACACCCACAUUUAUUUGGAUACACCAAAAUGGCUCAGGACAUUGUCCCAACCAGCAUGUGUUUGACCAUAAUUACUUCUUGAUUGACUGAGGUGAGCAAGACUCAAAUCAAACUCUAUGAGCUGUUUUAAGAGCUGACGCUAUUCCAUGGAGACAGUAGUGGAAGGGAACUAUAAUUCUCCCUUUCACUGUACAUUGGAAAGGAUAAAGCAUUAAGCAUCAAUUGGGAAAAGCACUCUUUUAAGGGCAAAUUCAGUGGCAUGCAGUAGAUUGCUUUUUGUCUGGGAGAGUUGCCAAGUUCUUUUACUCCCUAUAAUAUACCAUGUCAAAAAGCUGGCUCUUUAUUAUACAGAUGAAAUCUGUUUCAUCUGGAAGCAAAAUGGUACAUUUGCUUCUCCUGCGGAAUACUCCUUUGCAAAUUGUAUGACGUUUCGUUUGGCAGCAAAAAUAGUAAAUUUACUUUGCUAGCUGAAUACGGGAUUCCAAAUAUUUUACUUUUAUAUGAAUCAGUUCUGGCACCAUCUGUCAAAACAAUAUGCUGAAACGCUUUUAGAAAAUAUUUUUCCGAUUAAAUUUAUUAUGUGAUGCCGUUGUAUUUAUGACAGACUUAAUGUGAUAAUAUAGAUAAAAUAGUUCUCAACAACGUGGUAGUUAUCUGAUAAGGGUGUGGGCUUUUGUACUUGCUUGAACUGCACUUUGGUGAAUAUUUGAAAAUGGAUUGUGGUGAAAUAAUGCAUGGCAUCAAACUGAAAGGUCAACAGGCUGAAAAAGAGACUCUACAACCUCCUAUCCUUCUAACUCUUUCUGUGAAAAUGUUCUGACAUUACAGUCUCUUUAAACAGAUUGCAGAGGUACACCUUGAUUCUGCAGCCACUUACUUGAGAAUAUUUUUUUUCAAGAUUGGCUACAAGGAUGUCAUACUGUUCUCCUAUUUUGCAGAUGGUGCAUAUUCUUUCACAGUCUCUACUGCAGUGAUGCUCAGUGGUUUGGGAGCCACAUGUUGCUUUUUCACAUGUUCCCUGUGGCUCUUCUGAACAGUGUUUCAGGAAAAUGGGCAAGACUCUGACACAAUGAGGCUUCUGGAUGACAGGUGGUUCCAGUCUUAAAACAGCAGCUGGCAGGUGAACAGGUGCGAAGCACGGCAAGAGCUAAAACCACACGGAAUUGUGAUCAAAGCCAACAGCAAAGAUGUUGGAAGCUUUGCCUUGUCUUGAAAUUUUGGAUGGUGGCCUCUUGUUUCCCCAUGAAACUCAGUGAAGAUGAAUUCCUCGGCAAUGCCGCUGUUCAUGCUCCAUCCAUUUCAGAGGAAGAAUCCGGUGCAUGCAGAGGCGUAUCUCCAAGGGAACGGAUGCCGCAGCUUGGACAGAGAUUUGUUUAGAUUGCUGGAGAUGAAGAAGUGAAUGUUUCCCUGUAUCCUUUUCUUUUUUGUAAGUAGCUAUAUGCCCUCUCAAAUCGCCAUCUGCUAAUAUAUAGUUCCCAUUCUAUAUAGUAAUAUAUCUGUUUUUAUUGUUUUUACUGUUUUUAACUAUGACGUGUUUUUAUGUGAUGAUAUGUUUAAAUUAUUGUACUCUUUUUGUUGUUCAUCACCUUGAGCCCUUUGGGGGAGGGUGGUUUAAAAAUUCAAAAUACAAAUGAAUGAAUGAAUGAAUGAAUGAAUGAAUGAAUGAAUGAAUGAAUGAAUGAAUGAAUGAAUAAAUGAAUAAAUUUGAGGCAGUCCCCAAUUUCCUUCCAAAGUUACUUUUUGAAGUCCUCCCUUCUCCAGUUUUUACAAAACGUGCUGUCAAGGGUACUGACAGGGCUUAAAUGUGUGUUCAAAUGAAUAAGUUAGAUGGCUGUGAGAUGACUUUUGGCUGUACUGGUGGCAGCAGCAAGAGACAUAUGGUGUGAUUGCUGUAAAGGGUGUGUGUCAUUUCUAGCAACUAGUUUAGAAAUUUUGACCUAAAUGGGUCCCUGCAGCUACUUUUCAACAGGGACAAAGUGAUAUAACCACUUCAUUUUCUUUUGCAGUUUUGUUUCCCUUGUUCCUGGUUUUGGGUCACCUCAUUGUGGUGCAGUGGUUAAGAGCAGGUGGACUCUAAUCUGGAAAUUGGAUUUGAUUCCCCCCACUCCUCCGCAUAAGUGGUGGAUUCUGAUCGGAUGAACUGGAUUUGUUUCCUCACUCAUAUA